This 1042-nucleotide long non-coding RNA is filed under the name Vombatus ursinus (common wombat). RNAcentral describes it as "lncRNA (ENSVURG00010013791.1)". Lineage: Eukaryota; Metazoa; Chordata; Mammalia; Diprotodontia; Vombatidae. The record is from RNAcentral.
GGCUCACAGGAGAUAGCACUCACUAUUUAGUUUGGAGUGUGACUGAAUGAGUGGGAACUCAUGUAAAAUCUUUAUGCAAAUGCAGGGAGCAACAGUGCAGGAGGCUGUACCUGUCCUAGGCAGGCACACAGGUUGGCAAGGCCAGUUGGAACCAAGAUAAAAGGUCAUCACAGGAAAACCUUGAACCACUUACUGAGGAGGAUUCCCAGAGCACACUGGCUAGAGCAGUGUUUGAUUUCAUGGGUCAGACAUGGAGCCUGUCCCUGUUACUCUUUACCUUGGUUCUGCUGAAUUCUCCCAGACAUGUCACAGGGACCGUGAGUUCAGAGUCUCACAUGAAUUCCUGGAUCAGCAUUGUCAUCCCAGCCCUAGUAUUGGUAGUCCUGAUUACAGUAUGUGCCUAUCUACAAAUCAGAUGGAAAAUCCUUAACAAAAUAAAAGGCAUCGACAGAAGAAGAAGAAACAUACCACCACGACCAAACCAUAGAGGGGACAGAAGUCUAGAGAAGGGAUGUGUACUUCUCCAGAAGGUUUGCCUUUCAGGUCAAGAAACACAGACAAGGACACAGGAGGCCUUGCCUACUACAACCACACAAGACCAUGUAGCAGUGAUGCUGGCCAGAGUCUACACACCACAGGAGGGCAGCUGAGAGCAGCCCAGACAGCAGCAGCCCAACAAUAUGGACCAAAGACAUUUCCCCUGCACUGCUGGAAGACUGAGCACAGAUGUCCUCUAUGCGUGUGUUUCUGCAUAAGUGUCCAUGCUUCCCAUUGAUGGCAUAUUCUGGUGGCAAACUCUGCCUCAGAUUUCUAGGAGAAAUGUCCUUAUUUCUGUCUUUACUGACAUCUUGGAUGGUAUUCAGCCCUUUAUCCUCGUUCCCCUCUCUCCUACCAGAACUCUAUCCUCUGAAUGCUGAUCCCUCAUAUGGGAGCUUUCACUUUUUCUUGUCCACAAACAGACCCCCAGGCCAUUUCAUUUUUUCUUUUUUUAAAAUAAGUAAUAAUUUAUUUAUGUAUUUUUAGUUUUCAACAUUCACUUCCG